RNAcentral lists this non-coding RNA (23 nucleotides) under Cricetulus griseus (Chinese hamster). The record is from RNAcentral. Lineage: Eukaryota; Metazoa; Chordata; Mammalia; Rodentia; Cricetidae.
UAUUGCAGUACUUCCAGGAACGG